Molecule: microRNA, 23 nt
Filed under: Diachasmimorpha longicaudata
Lineage: Eukaryota; Metazoa; Arthropoda; Insecta; Hymenoptera; Braconidae
Also listed under: 2 other names
Description: Dlo-Mir-14_5p* (star (passenger))
Source: RNAcentral
GGGGGUGAGAAACUGGCUUGGCU